CCACUGUGGAUGCUCUUGGGAUUCGUGUAAAAUCAUCCAAGGUAAAAAUAACUGAAGAAAAAUUGCUUGAUGUAAUUUGGUGAGAAUUGAUGGAAGGCAUGAUUUGAGAUUCCAAUCGAGAGUUUCAAUAUCAGGUUUUAUGGUUUCAGAUUCAUAGUUUAAAUAUCAGGUGAACCGAUUGGCCUAGCUACCAAAAUUAUCAAAGCUAUGUUUGCGAAAGUGAAUCUACAAGUCUCUAACCUCGGUUUCAGCAUGGUCACUGCAAUGCGUUCGCAAGAUUCUCUAAUGAGAACCCCUCCUAUUCCACAGAACGAUGAAUGGCCAGUUGUAUGAAUACCGUUGAAUCCUCCAUAAAUGCAGCCAAUACAAAAUUCAGCACCUCCACUACCUGGUAGAAAAUUGUGUGCCUCCACCAAUGGUUUUAAUACAAAUUUCAGCACAUUCAAUGACGUCUGGAGCUUCCACCUACGUUUCCAGUGAAAAGUUCAACACACAGAACCGCCCCCAAUGACGUUGUGGCCAGUACAAAAUUCAAUACCUCCUCAAACUUUCCUAGAACUCAUCACGGCCCUUUGUAUUGCUGAUACAAAAUUUACUAGUGCCUCCACCAAUGUUUCUGAUACAAAUUUCUGGUCUCCACCAAUGUUUACGAUACAAAAUUCAUCACUGUCACUGACGUCGCCAGCAUGCAUUCAAGCAGCACCACCAAUGCCCCCUCUGAACCAGCAGUACGAAUCAUACAUUAACACUGUAGUGGUAGACUCAUGUUGUUACUCCCGUAUCAGCACCUCCUUCCAGAGUCGGUUAGCAGAACAUGAGUCUAUGGGACAUAAUAAUGUCCCUGCAUCAAUCGACGGUUGUUAAUAUUACAAGAAAAAAAAGCUGAGUUCUUUUGCAUCUUUAAUAUGUUAUUUUAAAUCGACGGUUGUGGUUAUCCCCUUAAACACAAUCUCAUUAACUCUACCUUAAUGAAAUUUAAUUUAUUAUGUUCUCUUAUUCUCGACGAUGGUUUUGACUUUUCAGUGUUCCAAACCGGCAAACCCAAAUACGAUCUUAGAGUAAGGAAACCAAAAGGAAGAUGUAUCCUUCUAUCUUCUCCAAGUUGGCGCAGCUUCCUGAGUAGCUAAAUUGGAGUAAGGAUGAGAAACCUGAGGGGGCAUGUGAAUGUGUCAAAAUAAAGCAAACUCCGAGGCUUCACCUCCAAAAAUUACUGCAGGCGCAUGGAACUUAUUUGCAAUGGGCUUGCUCCAAUUCAGGAAUAAAUCUAGGAUGAAGUUAAGCACAACGCCUCCUUGAUCUACACGUAUGUCGUUUCAUUGUUGUGGUGAUGAAUGCUAUAAACGCCUCAUUCAUUUAAUGCAUUUUUCAGACGAUAACAGGGAAGAUGGAAUCCAUUUGUUUUUCAUACCAUUGGAAGAAAUCUAUGCCGCCUUAUUCUUUAGGGAUUAGAGAGAUCCGAGCGUAGGAAUUUUUUCCUAGUGUGGUGAGUAUUCGGGAAGUUUAUUUCUUUUGAAAAACUUACUGAUACAAUGAUACUAUAUAGCCAAGGAUUUGUUCUUUUACAGAAAAUUAGGGUUUUUAUCGAAUAUAAUUUGCUUUUAUUCUCAGCUAAAGACUUAAAAGGGUAUAUUUCUCAAAAA
Papaver somniferum (opium poppy) is the source of this 1640-nucleotide long non-coding RNA. RefSeq lists it as uncharacterized. The transcript is spliced from 7 exons. NCBI's taxonomy places the organism in Eukaryota, Viridiplantae, Streptophyta, Magnoliopsida, Ranunculales, Papaveraceae. The record is from RefSeq and is a predicted model, not a curated record.